Molecule: long non-coding RNA, 505 nt
Organism: Nerophis ophidion (straightnose pipefish)
Lineage: Eukaryota; Metazoa; Chordata; Actinopteri; Syngnathiformes; Syngnathidae
Exons: 3
Source: RefSeq, a predicted model, not a curated record
GUACCUGGAAGAGGUCAUGACCAUGCCACAUUCACCUUUGUUGUCUGUCUGCAGGUCGUCCAGGUAGAAGUCGUUCUGCCGGUUGCCCAGGACGAAGGCCAUUAAGGACAGGACCAGGGCGUUGAGGAUGCCCAUGAUGGCCAACAUGUAGGCCCAGCGUACGGAGCAGUCGCCCAGGGAGUAUUUCCCCGUGUGCUCCCCGCACAUGUCGCGGAUCACCUCUGCAUCCCACCCGUCGGGGAAGAUCAUGCAGCCCAGGACCAGGCAUACUCCUGGAGAACACAGGUGGAGCCCAGGAGUCAGUAACAACACCUGCACAAUUUACUCCUACUUGAACCAAAGGUCCAUUAUCUACGUGGUGAAGUGGCAUCACAUCCACUAUUCCCUGUGAAGACAUCCUGCCUCUGCUUCACCCACAACAUCCAUUUCACGCCAUGGGUGGGUGGCGGCCUGGUGGCAACAGAUGAGGGAGAAUAGCAGAUGAAUCUGCACCAGGACUUUGACU